Molecule: long non-coding RNA, 1733 nt
Organism: Triticum aestivum (bread wheat)
Lineage: Eukaryota; Viridiplantae; Streptophyta; Magnoliopsida; Poales; Poaceae
Exons: 7
Source: RefSeq, a predicted model, not a curated record
UAUUCACCCUUUCUUUGGAAAUAAAGAAGAAUUAGUCAGUUUUAGGUUUGAAUGUCAGGCAAAAAUCAAAUGGGAGAAGCGACCUGUCAGUCCAGAUUCUAAUUGUUAUUUGGUGUUGAGAUUCAUAUGGCUGAGACAUAAUUUUAACUGGGCGCCUUCAGAUGUAAUCUAUUGCCUCUGACAUGUGAUUUGCUACAAAAUUAUGUCUCAACUAUCUAUAUUUUACAUUACUACUGUAGGCUUCUGAAAUGUAAAUUAUGCUAGGAUGUUUAGCUUUAACUAUGAUAUCCUAAAUGCGCAUGAAAAUACUACUGGGAUUACGACUAAAAAAAUCAUGACAUGCGAGCAAUUCUUGGUUGAAAUACUGUGAGCUUAAAUAACAUGAGCUAAACUAUUGUGCUAUGUUCAGAAUUGGUACUAGAAAAGAUAAUCUAAAUUGUACAUUGUGAAAGUAUAUUGGACUCUUGCCCUUUUGAAAUUAGUCUUCUAAGUAUUACUUAGUAAUAAAUGACAUGAUAACAUGUUGGUUUAGUUUAAAGCUGUAGGCACAGGCUUGCGGUAGGGGAAAAUCAUUGCCAGUCGAAAACCAAAAUGUUUAUUUGUGAUUAUGAUCAGGACUGCGCUUAUUCUGAAAUGGCGACGACCAAUAAUAUAAUGAAGUUCCUUGCUUAGAUGGUUGGUUAAGUCAUAGGUACAACAAGGAAAGGGCCAGCAAGAAAAUUAGCCAAUAAUUGGUUGACUGGUUUAACCCUAGGGAGAAGGUGGCUAAGAGGGCUUCUGAAAAGGGCCCAGGCUGAGGCUGAGGGGGAAACCGUUGAGUCCAAGAAGCUAAUUGCUCUGAAAUAUGGUCUUAGCCAUGUCACUUACCUCAUCGAGCAGAGCAACCCUCAGCUGGUCCAUGAUAUUGACCUGGUUGUGGUUCCCAGCCCUGUGCAGGAAGUUGGGAGGUCCCAUACUGCAUUGUUAAGGGAAAAUCACACCUUGGAUUGACCGCCUCUGUUCUCUGCCUUACCACUGAAGAACGAGGACAAGCUUGAAUUCAGCAAGAUCUCGGAGGCUAUCAAAGGCUAACUUCAAUGACAAGUUCUACGAGGUCAGGAAGAAGCGGGAGGUGGUGUUUUGUGAAGCUCGCCGUUUCAGAGCCAUAUGAAUUUUUUAUAGAAACAUGAGUAGAGUAAAAUGGGCACAGCUUCUGGUACAUGUGAGGUACAGAAUCGUCAAUCUUUGUUGAAUGUUGUAACAUAUUUACAACUGGGUUCAGUUUUGAAUCAGAUAUAAAAGCCAUUCAAGUUUCGGAUAGUUAUAUGAUGUGGCAUGUGCAUGCUUUAUAGUCACCUUGCAAAUUUCAUGAUGUCGCAUAGAUAUUUCUGUAUCUAUAUGAAUGUCGGACCCUGUGUAUAAAGGGGCUGUGCAGGACAAAAUGCUAUGGAUCCAGAGGAGUGGGAGGGGAGAGUUUAUCAACAACACAUCAAGGAGAAAGCGUGACGUGGAUUCCGAAGUUCCAGCUAACAUAGCAAAAUUGUAUAUAGAGAAUGCCUGCAUUUUGCUAUUACAUAGUUUGGGGCUAUGUUUCUUUUAAUUUUCAUUAUUAAAAGGAUCCUUAUCAUUGCCAAAUUAUCAAGCAUUUAUUUUCAAAUAACUCUUGGUUUGAAAUGGGACCUUGCUCCAUUUGGCGCAAUGAGUAAUGUUAUUAUAUGUCUUAUUGUAGACAAGAAGCAUCCAUUCUUAUUGUA